AGGAAAAUGAUGAAGAGUUAUUUUAUUAUAAUUUGUUAUUUCUUCUAAUAUUAUUAUUAUUUAUGCAAAUUUGACUACUACUUAAGCCGUGGUGUGGCGCUGGAAAGAGAAGUCUGCCGUAUUUUGUGAUGUUGUGUCGUCGUGACUGUGGUGGGUAGGAUUGUCUCUGACAACAGUGACUAUAGUCUGUUUGAUGUUUUUGUCCUUGGAUAGAACGGUUGUGAUGAUUAAUGGUGGUGUUUUAGUGGAACUGUACGUAGAAAAAAAUAGUCAAGUAACGGUGGACUGCGAAGCUAAUGUUUGUUUAUUCUUUAAUUUUCUUUUGUAAGUUUACCAGUUUGGUCUUUCUAAUAAAGUGUUGUUUUAGUUCCUUAUGGAGAAUUAUUUACAGAGUAUGGAACACUUUAUACAAUGGCUUAAGGAGAUGGAGAUUAACAUCUCGAUUAAGAUUAGUAUUAAAAGAAAGGACGAUACGGAGGAUAUUUUCCACAUAUGGAAUGCUC
RNAcentral lists this long non-coding RNA (503 nucleotides) under Androctonus crassicauda. Lineage: Eukaryota; Metazoa; Arthropoda; Arachnida; Scorpiones; Buthidae. The record is from RNAcentral.